Molecule: ribosomal RNA, 164 nt
Filed under: uncultured bacterium
Lineage: Bacteria
Description: partial 16S ribosomal RNA
Rfam family: Bacterial small subunit ribosomal RNA
Source: RNAcentral
UAGUAAUCGCAGAUCAGCAUGCUGCGGUGAAUACGUUCCCGGGCCUUGUACACACCGCCCGUCACACCAUGGGAGUCGGUAACACCCAAGUUGGUAGCCUAACCGCAAGGAGGGCGCCGCCUAAGGUGGGAUUGAUGACUGGGGUGAAGUCGUAACAAGGUAGC